Molecule: non-coding RNA, 1103 nt
Organism: Cyanistes caeruleus (blue tit)
Lineage: Eukaryota; Metazoa; Chordata; Aves; Passeriformes; Paridae
Source: RefSeq, a predicted model, not a curated record
CCUGCCUAAUCGAGCCCCCCUGACCCGUCCUGACCAGCCCGCUCCACCGGGCCCUGCUGACCCGGCCUGCCCGAGCGCCGCUGCCCGGGCCUCCCCCGCCCCGCACUGGCAGCGCAGCCCAUGUGCUGUCCGGUAUCUACCCACACUCUGCUUCUUUUGGAAAAGGGAUGCCUGAGAUGGGACCUCAUCCAUGUCCGUCUGAAUGGAGGGUGGCAGGAGGACAGAGCCAGGCUCUGGUGAGCGGUGCCAAGCAAUGAGAGGCAACAAGCAGAAACAGAAAUAUUCAGUGUAAAAUAUUAUACAUAUUCUUUUCCUGGGGAAUUGAACCAGGAGGAUGUGUUGGCAAGCCUAUUUGGCAGUGUUAUUUUAAAUGAUGGUGUCUCUGGAUGCUUGAGGAAGGAUGACCUGAAGGAAGGCAGCUGGCUGGAAGAUACUGUUCGUGCUCUUUGGUCAAGGAUUGGUGUCAACAUGAUCUUGUUGGCAGAAGGUUGAAGCCACUGCUGUCCAGAAAGAAUAUGAAGAAUGUUUCCUCCAUGGGAGAAUCUUCAUUAUCUGAAAAGGCUAUUAAUGCACUGUAAGAGGAUAGCGCUGACCUUGCAAAACAAGGGGAGAAAAUUUUCCAUGACUCUACAUACAGGCAACAGUGAGAGAUACAGAGGGAGGAGAGGAUGAAACAGAAAAUAUAGCACUUGUCAUGGUGGAAAACUGUUAAAGCAGACCAUGUUUAGAAUAAAGCAGAAGUGAUAAUCAUUGUUAUUCUUUUAUGAAGGAAGGGAAACUCUUCAUUUGAUAAAACUAAUGGUGAAGUUCUCUGUUAAGGCUUGUUAAUUGAGUACUGCUGAAUGCUUGCAUAUAGGAAGGCAUUCCUGUCACUGUGUCUGCUUAGAGGCACAAGUUGCUGCCAAACUGAAACCUUAGCCAUGUUUGGCUAUAUCUUGUGAGCUCUGGCAGACAUGUAUUUUUUUCUAUUAACAAUCUUCAGCUUUUCACAUCUUGUAGCUGAUACUGAAAAAUAUUAAUAGAAGAGAAACUCUUGUCACUAAAAUGAAAUCAAUGCAUUACAAAAACAUUCUAUGAAAUUCCUUCUGCUUUGAGAAACAGGC